UACAGUGGAAUUCAAAAAAAA
Molecule: non-coding RNA, 21 nt
Organism: Caenorhabditis elegans
Lineage: Eukaryota; Metazoa; Nematoda; Chromadorea; Rhabditida; Rhabditidae
Source: Ensembl